RNAcentral lists this transfer RNA (73 nucleotides) under Streptococcus mitis. RNAcentral describes it as "tRNA-Thr". It matches the Rfam family "tRNA". From Rfam's summary of the family: Transfer RNA (tRNA) molecules are approximately 80 nucleotides in length. Their secondary structure includes four short double-helical elements and three loops (D, anti-codon, and T loops). The record is from RNAcentral. Lineage: Bacteria; Bacillati; Bacillota; Bacilli; Lactobacillales; Streptococcaceae. RNAcentral also lists the same sequence under 3 other names.
GCCGAUUUAGCUCAGUUGGUAGAGCACCGCACUCGUAACGCGAAGGUCACAGGUUCAAACCCUGCAAUCGGCA